Molecule: ribosomal RNA, 207 nt
Filed under: uncultured bacterium
Lineage: Bacteria
Description: partial 16S ribosomal RNA
Rfam family: Bacterial small subunit ribosomal RNA
Source: RNAcentral
CUUGUAGGUGGCUUGUCGCGUCUGCCGUGAAAGGCUUCAGCUUAACUGGAGUAGUGCGGUGGGUACGGGCUGGCUUGAGUGCGGUAGGGGAGACUGGAAUUCCCGGUGUAACGGUGGAAUGUGUAGAUAUCGGGAAGAACACCAAUGGCGAAGGCAGGUCUCUGGGCCGUUACUGACGCUGAGGAGCGAAAGCGUGGGGAGCGAACA